Molecule: small RNA, 358 nt
Filed under: Rattus norvegicus (Norway rat)
Lineage: Eukaryota; Metazoa; Chordata; Mammalia; Rodentia; Muridae
Description: uncharacterized LOC108349528
Source: RNAcentral
GUAAGAGAUGGUGGUGACAGUGCGUUUCAUGCGGAAACCGGCCACCCAGAUCACGAGCCCGUUGCCCAAGACUCCAAGCACAAAGAGGUCCAAGAACGCCCGAGAUGUGACAUGCCUGACUUAUAUGCUGACAACUGGAUGCAGAACCUAUUUGACAGCAGCAAUCACUCUUAACAUCUUUCCAAGAAGUGUCUCUCCAGCCUCUUCUUGAGAUUUUCUUGGUGGAAAGACAUAAUAUUCUCUUUACCUGUGAGAUCUCUUCAAUAUGCUUUAAGAAUACAGAGAUCCAACAUUCUCCACAUCAGAGCAGAAGGAAUAUGGGAUAAGGAAGCUUCUAAUCAUAAGAAAAAGCAAGGAC